Long non-coding RNA from Cydia amplana, 161 nucleotides. RefSeq lists it as uncharacterized. The record is from RefSeq and is a predicted model, not a curated record. The transcript is spliced from 2 exons. NCBI's taxonomy places the organism in Eukaryota, Metazoa, Arthropoda, Insecta, Lepidoptera, Tortricidae.
ACAGAUACUACAACAGCAGGUGAUACCAAGCCCCAAACCAGAAUACCCGUGUCCAGGUUCAAACCGGCAGCCGAACGCGUGCUGAAGGAGAAAAGAGAUGACAAUUCACAGAAGAGUAAAAGAGAAGCGCCAGAAAAACCACGUCGUACCUCCAUACCCAA